Molecule: ribosomal RNA, 465 nt
Filed under: Lactococcus lactis
Lineage: Bacteria; Bacillati; Bacillota; Bacilli; Lactobacillales; Streptococcaceae
Description: bacterial SSU rRNA
Rfam family: Bacterial small subunit ribosomal RNA
Source: RNAcentral
CCUACGGGAGGCAGCAGUAGGGAAUCUUCGGCAAUGGACGAAAGUCUGACCGAGCAACGCCGCGUGAGUGAAGAAGGUUUUCGGAUCGUAAAACUCUGUUGGUAGAGAAGAACGUUGGUGAGAGUGGAAAGCUCAUCAAGUGACGGUAACUACCCAGAAAGGGACGGCUAACUACGUGCCAGCAGCCGCGGUAAUACGUAGGUCCCGAGCGUUGUCCGGAUUUAUUGGGCGUAAAGCGAGCGCAGGUGGUUUAUUAAGUCUGGUGUAAAAGGCAGUGGCUCAACCAUUGUAUGCAUUGGAAACUGGUAGACUUGAGUGCAGGAGAGGAGAGUGGAAUUCCAUGUGUAGCGGUGAAAUGCGUAGAUAUAUGGAGGAACACCGGUGGCGAAAGCGGCUCUCUGGCCUGUAACUGACACUGAGGCUCGAAAGCGUGGGGAGCAAACAGGAUUAGAUACCCUGGUAGUC